RNAcentral lists this ribosomal RNA (253 nucleotides) under uncultured bacterium. RNAcentral's name for it is "partial 16S ribosomal RNA". It matches the Rfam family "Bacterial small subunit ribosomal RNA", at positions 524 to 776 of the family's 1533-position model. The record is from RNAcentral.
UACGUAGGCAGCAAGCGUUGUUCGGAGUUACUGGGCGUAAAGGGUGCGUAGGCGGCCUUAUAAGUAUGGUGUGAAAUCUCCCGGCUUAACUGGGAGGGUGCGCUAUAGACUGUGGGGCUAGAGUGUGGGAGAGGAAAGUGGAAUUCCUGGUGUAGCGGUGAAAUGCGUAGAUAUCAGGAGGAACACCGGUGGUGUAAACGGCUUUCUGGACCAUAACUGACGCUGAGGCGCGAAAGCGUGGGUAGCAAACAGG